GGGGGAAAUAUUAUUUUAAUAAAUAUGAAAAACUUCUUUAAACAGUCAGAAUUGAAAGCAAUCGUAUAGUGAUGUGUUACCAUGUGGAAAUGCUAUUGCCAAGAACAGUACGUUUGAGAGCUCGGAAAUUCUUAGUUAAAUCAUUGCUGUAGUUAUAUUCAGGCUGAUGCUGCGGGCCGGUGCGGGAGAAAGCUGCAGCCCUGCGCUCUCUGCGCUGCCCUUUGCUUCGUGACCCGGCGCCUCCUGAACAAUACGCUGGGGCACUUUCGAAACUUCAGGGCGUGCACCCAGCGCGGGCGGCAGCACCAGGAAAUGGGAUCCGGGUGCUGCUGCCUUAUGAAUAUAUUGAUGACACUUUGAGAUUGGAAAGACCAUGAUUACUACAUUCAUUGAGGUGUGACUUCAGUUGUCUGCAGAAAGUGAAGCUGGGUCAGCUUGGUUUGCCUCCCAUAUCACAGGUGUGUUCCUACAGCAGGGUUUUCACUCCUUUCUAGUAUCUGAAGUCUUCUGUGCCUAGAAUAGAGAUAUGUCAGUGUGGAAGGAAAUGAGGAAAUGUCACAAGUUCUGUCUUCCUUGGGAACUGAACAAAUUAGAUUUCCCUCUGUGGAAAACACUUUACUGGAGAUGCCAUCUGUAGAUAAAGUCUUUUAGUGUUUUGGGACUUGGGCAUACUCAAUCACCUGUACAUUUCCUCUGAAAAAUAACAGAAAACAGGUAAAAUUUGCUGUCUCUAAUUCUGUUUAGGCUGUUUAAAGACAAGUCAUUCAAACCAGCCAUUUUGUUUCUGAUAAAAAAUCAUUUUGGUAUAGAUUUGCCUUUACUUUCCAUUAAAUUGCAGAAAGGCUUAUCAUGAGAAUUUUUAGUAGUUUACAAGGACUAUUUUUCUUGAUGUUUUAAUGUCUUCUUAAAUGUGUUAAAUACGUGAAACCAAUAAGAUACACAAUUAAAAUGGUACAUGCUGCCACUGUGAGUAUAUCCUCAAACUUUGACUUUUGAAAACUUUAAACUUUUUUUAAUUGAAAUUUUACAGGGAGUUGAGUUAGUGUAAAGGAAUUGCAAGAGCUAUCUUUAACCAGUUAAAUCCUUUAAACAAGGAUUUAACUGGUGCUGAAAGACAUUCCACAUUUUCAAUGUUCAAGCUAAAAACUGUGAAAUCUGCAAGUAGU
RNAcentral lists this long non-coding RNA (1166 nucleotides) under Junco hyemalis (dark-eyed junco). RNAcentral's name for it is "lncRNA (ENSJHYG00000000117.1)". The record is from RNAcentral. Lineage: Eukaryota; Metazoa; Chordata; Aves; Passeriformes; Passerellidae.